CCUACGGGAGGCAGCAGUGGGGAAUUUUGGACAAUGGGCGAAAGCCUGAUCCAGCCAUUCCGCGUGAGUGAAGAAGGCCUUCGGGUUGUAAAGCUCUUUCGCAAGGGAAGAAAACUUAUAUUCUAAUAAAGUAUGAGGAUGACGGUACCUUGAUAAGAAGCACCGGCUAACUACGUGCCAGCAGCCGCGGUAAUACGUAGGGUGCGAGCGUUAAUCGGAAUUACUGGGCGUAAAGCGUGCGCAGGCGGUUUUGAAAGUCAGAUGUGAAAUCCCCGAGCUCAACUUGGGAACUGCGUUUGAAACUCCAAAGCUAGAGUAUAGGAGAGGGGGGUAGAAUUCCACGUGUAGCAGUGAAAUGCGUAGAGAUGUGGAGGAAUACCAAUGGCGAAGGCAGCCCCCUGGCCUAAUACUGACGCUCAUGCACGAAAGCGUGGGGAGCAAACAGGAUUAGAUACCCUGGUAGUCCACGCCCUAAACGAUGUCUACUAGUUGUUGGUGGAGUAAAAUCCAUUAGUAACGCAGCUAACGCGUGAAGUAGACCGCCUGGGGAGUACGGUCGCAAGAUUAAAACUCAAAUGAAUUGACGGCUGAGACGUGCGACGACGACGACGAGGGAGGAGG
Molecule: ribosomal RNA, 621 nt
Filed under: uncultured bacterium
Lineage: Bacteria
Description: bacterial SSU rRNA
Rfam family: Bacterial small subunit ribosomal RNA
Source: RNAcentral